This 253-nucleotide ribosomal RNA is filed under the name uncultured bacterium. Its description in RNAcentral is "partial 16S ribosomal RNA". It matches the Rfam family "Bacterial small subunit ribosomal RNA", at positions 524 to 776 of the family's 1533-position model. The record is from RNAcentral.
UACAGAGGGGGCUAGCGUUGUUCGGAAUUACUGGGCGUAAAGGGCUCGUAGGCGGCCAACUAAGUCAGACGUGAAAUCCCUCGGCUUAACCGGGGAACUGCAUCUGAUACUGGAUGGCUUGAGAUUGGGAGAGGGAUGCGGAAUUCCAGGUGUAGCGGUGAAAUGCGUAGAUAUCGGGAGGAACACCGGUGGCGAAGGCGGCCCCCUGGUUGGAUACUGACGCUGAGACGCGAAAGCGUGGGGAGCAAACAGG